GACGAACGCUGGCGGCGUGCUUAACACAUGCAAGUCGAACGGGCCUUGUCCCCUUUUUUUUGGGGGUGGGGUUAGUGGCGAACGGGUGAGUAACACGUGAGUAACCUGCCCCUCACUUCUGGAUAACCGCUUGAAAGGGUGGCUAAUACGGGGUGUUCUGGCCUGCUCGCAUGGGUGGGUUUGGAAAGAUUCGACCGGUUUUGGUUGUUUUGGUUGGGGAUGGGCUCGCGGCCUAUCAGCUUGUUGGUGGGGUGAUGGCCUGCCAAGGCUUUGACGGGUAGCCGGCCUGAGAGGGUGGGCGGUCACACUGGGACUGAGACACGGCCCAGACUCCUACGGGAGGCAGCAGUGGGGAAUAUUGCACAAUGGGCGCAAGCCUGAUGCAGCGACGCCGCGUGAGGGAUGGAGGCCUUCGGGUUGUGAACCUCUUUCGCCAGUGAAGAAGGUCCUGCUCUUUGUGGUGGGGUUGACGGUAGCUGGGUUAAUGAAGCGCCGGCUAACUACGUG
Molecule: ribosomal RNA, 507 nt
Filed under: uncultured bacterium
Lineage: Bacteria
Description: partial 16S ribosomal RNA
Rfam family: Bacterial small subunit ribosomal RNA
Source: RNAcentral